UGGGGAAUUUUGGACAAUGGGCGCAAGCCUGACCCAGCCAUGCCGCGUGCGGGAAGAAGGCCUUCGGGUUGUAAACCGCUUUUGUCAGGGAAGAAAUCUUCUGAGUUAAUACCUCGGGAGGAUGACGGUACCUGAAGAAUAAGCACCGGCUAACUACGUGCCAGCAGCCGCGGUAAUACGUAGGGUGCAAGCGUUAAUCGGAAUUACUGGGCGUAAAGCGUGCGCAGGCGGUUUUGUAAGACAGAGGUGAAAUCCCCGGGCUCAACCUGGGAACUGCCUUUGUGACUGCAAGGCUUGAGUGCGGCAGAGGGGGAUGGAAUUCCGCGUGUAGCAGUGAAAUGCGUAGAUAUGCGGAGGAACACCGAUGGCGAAGGCAAUCCCCUGGGCCUGCACUGACGCUCAUGCACGAAAGCGUGGGGAGCAAACAGGAUUAGAUACCCUGGUAGUCCACGCCCUAAAACGAUGUCAACUGGUUGUUGGGAAAGGUUCCUUCUCAGUAACGUAGCUAACGCGUGAAGUUGACCGCCUGGGGAGUACGGCCGCAAGGUUGAAACUUAAAUGAAUUGACGGGGUCAUAGCUGUUUCCUG
Molecule: ribosomal RNA, 588 nt
Filed under: uncultured bacterium
Lineage: Bacteria
Description: partial 16S ribosomal RNA
Rfam family: Bacterial small subunit ribosomal RNA
Source: RNAcentral